ACCCCGUCCCUGUGCCACAGUAUGCUGUAUGCUGCGAUAUGCCUUUUCAAUACUUUCUUUUGGUCAACCGACUGUUUUCACAGUGGUGGCUGAUGAGACAAGUAACUGACCCGGAAAUGAUCGUCGGCAAAAUCAUUUUAACCCCUGAGGGAAAGCCCCUUGCGUGUGGUUAACAGCAGUAUAUCAGUGUUUAUCAAACUGAGGUGGUUCAUAACACAUCCCUGUAUCCGCAGUACUAUUUGGAAGCAAAGAACACAUCCCAAUCA
This is a long non-coding RNA of Nematostella vectensis (starlet sea anemone), 266 nucleotides long. RefSeq lists it as uncharacterized. The transcript has 2 exons. NCBI's taxonomy places the organism in Eukaryota, Metazoa, Cnidaria, Anthozoa, Actiniaria, Edwardsiidae. The record is from RefSeq and is a predicted model, not a curated record.